GAUGAACGCUAGCGACAGGCCUAACACAUGCAAGUCGAGGGGCAGCACAAGGUAGCAAUACUGAGGUGGCGACCGGCGCACGGGUGAGUAACGCGUAUGCAACCUGCCUGUAACAGGGGAAUAGCCUCUUGAAAGAGAGAUUAAUGCCGCAUAAUACGAGAUUCGGGCAUCCGGAUUUAGUUAAACAUUUAUGGGUUACAGAUGGGCAUGCGUUUCAUUAGGUAGUUGGUGAGGUAACGGCUCACCAAGCCGACGAUGAAUAGGGGUUCUGAGAGGAAGGUCCCCCACACUGGUACUGAGACACGGACCAGACUCCUACGGGAGGCAGCAGUGAGGAAUAUUGGUCAAUGGACGCAAGUCUGAACCAGCCAAGUCGCGUGAAGGAUGAAGGUAUUAUGUAUUGUAAACUUCUUUUGUCAGGGAAUAAUGGGUGUCACGUGCGACGCAGAGGAAUGUACCUGACGAAUAAGCAUCGGCUAACUCCGUGCCAGCAGCCGCGGUAAUACGGAGGAUGCGAGCGUUAUCCGGAUUUAUUGGGUUUAAAGGGUGCGUAGGCGGNUUGUUAAGUCAGUGGUGAAAGUUUGCGGCUCAACCGUAAAAUUGCCAUUGAAACUGGCGAACUUGAGUACAGUAGAGGUAGGCGGAAUUCGUGGUGUAGCGGUGAAAUGCUUAGAUAUCACGAAGAACUCCGACUGCGAAGNC
RNAcentral lists this ribosomal RNA (702 nucleotides) under uncultured prokaryote. RNAcentral describes it as "bacterial SSU rRNA". It matches the Rfam family "Bacterial small subunit ribosomal RNA", at positions 28 to 722 of the family's 1533-position model. The record is from RNAcentral.